GGAGGGGUGGCCGAGUGGCUGAAGGCGCACGCUUGGAAAGCGUGUAUGCGGGGAACCGUAUCGAGGGUUCGAAUCCCUCUCCCUCCGCCA
Molecule: transfer RNA, 90 nt
Filed under: Rhodospirillaceae bacterium
Lineage: Bacteria; Pseudomonadati; Pseudomonadota; Alphaproteobacteria; Rhodospirillales; Rhodospirillaceae
Description: tRNA-Ser
Rfam family: tRNA
About the family: Transfer RNA (tRNA) molecules are approximately 80 nucleotides in length.
Source: RNAcentral